CCAGCCCACUGGCCGUCACAUCACACCUGAGGAUUGGUCAAGGUAUGACUGUGUGUUUCAGCUUUCUGCUGUCAAAGAAGACAUCAUCAUCAAACUGGACCAAAAAGUGAUCAAGAGUAACAGAGGUAAGAGUGAACCCAAAAUAAUGGAUUUAGUGUGUGUGUUCAGGACCAGAUCUUGGGAAAGUAAUAACUUUAAACCUAAGAAAUCUACAUGCUUCAUGUUUUCAUUAUAAAUCCUAGGCAAAGACGUAGACCAGCAGACAAAUACAAAAGCAUUUUUUUGUGUGGUAGUGUGGAUGUAAUAACUGUUAUACAUCUAUACAGAUACACAACUUUGGAUUGAUGGAUGUCUUGUCUUUCCAGAUUAUUUAAUCUGUACAAGUCCCGAAGAGAACAAUGAUUAUUACCUCAAAGUUUUUGUGGGGUUUUUUUUUUGUUCUGCUCAUCACAGUCCUUGUUUUCAUCGUGUACAAGAUUACAGGUGAUGUGUAUAUGUAUAUGGUAUUUUCAUUAAACGAUUAUAAAAUUUUAUUGAUUCAGUUUACCACCCAAAAACAGUUCAUCUAAAUCCAAAGCAUUAAUGAUGUUGUGAAAGAAAAGUUAAAAGAACAAACAUAUAUUAAAAUAUUAAAGAGAGUUAGAUUUAAUUUGUUGUUCAGUUGUUGGUUUAACUUUUUAUAUCUAAGGUUUAAAAUCAUGGUUUGAGUUUGUUUGCCAUCUACAAUCAUUUAUAGAAUUUUCAUCAGUUUAAAAUACCCCAAAUUAAAAUUAUUUCAACAGAAAAACUUUAAUGAUGAAUCAGAUAUGAAUCAAUCAAACCUGUGGUGACUAUCUGCAGUAUAACAUAAAUUUGAUGUCAAGACUUAUGUCAUUAUAUAUUUUUGAAGACUGGAUAUGGUGAUUAACACUUUGUUUGUUUGUUUGUUUGUUUCUGCCUGCGAUUCCAGUUGACGAAAGCAAUCAAAAGAGUAAGCAUGAGUUACAUUCAUUUGAAAUAAAAACUGAGUUAGAUAAUUUGUUGAGUAAAAACCUUAUUUUUCCAGAAGACUUGGAGACUUUGAAGUACUCCCCCAUCGCUGCACUGGUUCUUGCUCUCAUCCUUUGUUGUUUAACUGGAGUUCACUUUUAUAAAACAAAUACUGGUAAGCAAACAAAACAUUUAACUCAAAUCUUCACAUUAUAUACAUUAUAUAAAUACAACCUCAGGUCAGUGCAAAAAUUAAAAAGAGACCUCAAAAUAAUACAGAGGAAACCCCUAAAAUCUGUCGACAACCUAUGAAUAAGCAUUUGGUGGCAUUGGGAAGAAAAAAACACAUUUUUGACAUGAAGAACCAAACUCAGGAAGGAGCAGUUAUCUGCUGCAACCAGUUGAGGGUGGGGACAAACAGAGGGAAACGGGCCAGAAGACACAUUAUGGAAGAGAGCCAGAGUUUUAUCAACAGUUCUGCUGUUUUACUCUUUUUAAUGAGAAGAGACUAUCUCCUGGUAAUCCUUUAAAACUACUUGUUCGGUCUUUUUCUAAUUGUUUUGUUAUCAGCUUUAACAUUAGAAUGGUAACUGAGGCCUGUAAAGUAAAAAAUCUAGCUCUUGGUUUGUUUGUUUUUGUGUGAACAUGGCACAGCGUCAUGAUCCUGGGUUUUCAACCAGCGUUUUCCAUUCUUACAAUUUCUGUCUGUUCUCUGUUUUAACUAAUUUAGGCUUGGUUUAAUAUUAUGCUUUUGCUCAGGCUGUUUUCUCCUUUGUGUUUGUUUCUAGUUCCCCUUAGAGUGACAAUUUGUGUUUUGAUCUCUAUUCUUAAUACCAUGAUUAGCUGGGUUGUGUUCUUGACUUCUGGUUUGUAUUAAUUCCUUAUUACAGUUAUCAGCAGUUCUCUGUUCCCAUUGUCAAGUCAUCGUCAUCCCUGUUUGUGUUUCAGUUUUUUGUUAUUUCCCAUUUUAUUUUUUUAGUCUUUGUCCCCUGUGUGCUGUUUAAUUUUUCCAUGUCUUGUCCUCCUUAAUUGUUGUCAGCUGUUUUCCCACCUAUUGGCCAUCUGCUUGUUGUCCUAUGGCUCUAUUUAUUCUCUCUAUCUCCAACUGUUCAUUGUGGUUUUGUACUGUUUGUCGGUCCUUGCAUUGCUCCAUGCUAUUUUUUGGAUUAUUGAACUUACGUUUCCUACAGCAUUAUCUGUUUGCUGCCACAACUACAAUAUAAGUUAGUUUCAGUUAAGUUAAUGGUUUUCCUUGUCUGCAUCUGGGUCUACUCCACAACCUUACACACCAUUUGCCCUUCUAGUGAAUCUGCUAGAACGUCCACACAUUGCAAAGCUUGGCAAUGGUUUCCAACAAUACAGUGAAUGAACAGAAUAAAAUGAUUGACAAUGAAUGUUCCAGACCAGCAAUCUGAAAAAAUUGUUCUGCUUUGAUAGGUGUUCACACUUACUUAUAAUCAGUUAAUCACAUGUAUUUAAUUAGCAGCAUCUGGCUGUUACUUACUAUCUUAACUCCUAUUAAAGCAGUAAGGGUGUACUUAGAUUUUCACAGGACUGCUUCUGCAUUUUUGUUAAAUAAUGACAUGGUAUAAUAAUGUAUGUCAUGUAUUGUUGCCUACCUGAUGUUUACAUUAUAUUCUGAUAUGUAGUCUUAUAAGGGUUAUGUUGACAGAAGUUAUACUUUUGUUUAACUAUAAUUGAACAUAAUGUUGUUCAGGCUGGAUUGUCAUUUCCUGUAUAUUUCAGUACUUUGACACAACAAGGGAAAAGUGUUAAGAUUACAAUCAAAGUGGAAACAGUAUUAGAAUAAAUGUUUUUAUAAACCUCUAAGUGUGGUAGGAGAGAGUUCAACAAGGGGACAGAGACAUUAAUUUUUUGUGUUUCAGAUUUCUCCGUAAUUCUUCGAUCUGAUUAUGCGUUGAAAUGGAGAGAGCCAUUACCUGGAAUACAAUGGGGACCCUGAAACAGGACGUAAUUAUAAGACCUUGACUUUACAUUAUUGAAGCAUUAAUGCAUUUGUUUUUUUAUUUACUGUUGAUUGAUGUGCACCCUAUUUUUUCGCUGACUUGUUGAAUGGACAUUAUAUGGCUCACUACUUGAAUGCAAACACAAGGCUGUGUUUGUAUAUUAUUUCAGUGCAAACUGUGUUUUGAAUUUAUCUUUGUACUGUGGAUUCAUAACUGUGUAGACUCACAAAUUAUCACGGUUAGCACUGGCCAACCGUGGGGAUGUGAGGAAGAAGGACCCAAAUGCUGGACUCUUUAUGAUAAACAGUGCAUUUAUUUACAGUGGUGUAAAUAAUCCACAGAAUAAUAAGUCCCCGUGUGUUCCCUUGACUCCCUUGUCGUGUCUUCCACCCACAAGUCCGUGCUCUUCCACUCCUGUGUGUCCCGCCACCCCGUGCUCACUGCUCUUGUCUUCCACGCUCCUUCCUGGAUAAAAUAACAAAGAAGCAACCAUCAGGAUACUCAACCACUGCAGGCAUGCACUCACUUAACUUGCCUCACAAAGACCACUGACGUGGAGUCUCACACAACAAUCCCGCGCCGAGGAGCGCUCGGCCACACUCUUAAGUAGCUCCCCGAUGAGGCUUCAUUAGCUGCAGGUGUGUGUGAUCAUCCGCUUCAGGCGUGGCCAGCCUCCAGAUGGGACACACCUACCAGGCCUGCCUGAAACCCAGUGCUCAGCCACACUCACAGACACACCCACUUGCCUAUACAUACAAGCAUGGAGAACACAAGAAUAGCAGCACAGUGCAGCAAACAUACAUCAUAUAUCAGUCCAUAACUGCUCAUGGACCCUGGAUCACUCAGAUCCAGGUCCCUGACACAAAUAAAACUAUGGGGAUGUUUGAGUAGUAAGUAAUGUUAGAGCAGAAAUGGAAAUGGGUUUAUGGCUGUCAUUUCUUCAAAGCUUGAUUUGUUUAAAAAAAAAAAAAAAGUUUUCAUCCUAAGUCUACGAGAUGGCAGCAGAGACUCUGUAAAUCUCCCUUUAGGGCUCACAGCAGAUUUUUGUCAGUGCGACUUGUCAUACAGUCCCGAUCAAAAGUUUAAAGACCAGUUGAAAAAUGGCAAAAAAAAUCAUAUUUUGCAUGGUUGGAUCUUCACAAGGUUCCAAGUCGAGCUUCAACACGCAACAAGAAGAAAUGAGACAAAACAUUUUUUGAGCAUGCAAUUUAUCGAAACCAACACUUAAACUGAAACAGGCUGUUUUACAGCUGAUCAGAAGUUUAGGACCACACCUGCAAAAAAACCCAUAAACUCCCCAAAACAGAAAUCAAAGUUCCAAACAUGAACUCAAUAAUGAGUAGCUCCACCGUUAUUGUUAAUCACUUCAAAAUUCAUUGAGGCAUACUUGAUGUAAGCGUUUCCAUGAGGUGAGUGGGAACAUUUCCCGAAGUGGUGAAGACGGCCACACGAAGGCAAUCUACUGUCUGGAACUGUUGUGUCUGGAUAUGUUCUAGCCUUUUUAAAGGUAUAAUACAAAGUGAUUAUCUUUUUGUGUUUACAAACACUGCCCCGCUCAACAAGUGAGCAGUGUCGGUCAAACCAGUUAGAAGAUAAAUAUAGAGAAGCAGCAUUAGCAAAAAGCCAUGAAUAAUACAUAAUUAUCAGAAAUGACAUGAAGUGACAAAGUAAAUAUAACAUUUUUUUUAAUCUGUCUAACUUAUAAACUUUUUAUGUUUGAUCUAUAUUAUAUAUGUGGGAUGGGAUUUAUGGGAUUUGGACAGCUGCAUUCAAAAAGAACAUAUUUCUUCUUCACAUACUAAAUGCCAAAUUCUAUAACCUGUUUGUGUGUUUUGAUUUUUGAGCUGGCUGUAUAUAUUUUUAAAAAGUGCAAAUUUGGGAGUAUGGAUUAAAACACAAAUUCAAAAAAUAAACUCUGCAUUUCCACAACUGAGAUCUCACCUUUCCUCUUUGGUAACGACUGCCACAGCUGCCACGGCUGCCACGAUUACCACAACUGCAAUGGAAACGAUAACUAGAACAACGAUUGCAGCUCCAAUGUCAGUGGGAUUCUCUGUUGAAUAGAAUAUGGAAGGACUUUAAUAAUAAAUUUGUGCUGUUACUUAAAAAUAAGUGAAGAACAAAUCAGUAAGGACCUGGUAGUUGAUGCAUCUUAUAUCUCUGAUUGAAAUAAUAAGAUUUAUCAGUUCCACAGUUGGUACCUCAUUACUUUUUGCUCACUUCAGUUAUCUAUCAUGUGUCCCC
Molecule: long non-coding RNA, 5180 nt
Organism: Oreochromis aureus
Lineage: Eukaryota; Metazoa; Chordata; Actinopteri; Cichliformes; Cichlidae
Source: Ensembl